Long non-coding RNA from Etheostoma spectabile (orangethroat darter), 283 nucleotides. RefSeq lists it as uncharacterized. NCBI's taxonomy places the organism in Eukaryota, Metazoa, Chordata, Actinopteri, Perciformes, Percidae. The transcript is spliced from 3 exons. The record is from RefSeq and is a predicted model, not a curated record.
UAGCCACUGUAGAAAGCAGAUGGCAGCUGGUUUUUAAAAUAUUCUAACCCCACAGGCUUUCUGCCAGCUAAUUAAUUUGGCCUCAUAAAGUUGAAAUACAGGAAAUGUACAAUCAACGUUCUUGAAUUUGUUGAGAUUACACAUUUAAGUGCUAACGGCCUCUUCACCCCAGUAAUAUGCCGCCACAGUUUUGAGCUCAAAUCCAAGGAAAUGGUGGACUUGGGUUAAAAUGUGAUAGAAUUGUGGCAAAAAAUAAAUGAAUGAAUCCUUCAGUGGAAGGUAG